CCUACGGGAGGCAGCAGUGAGGAAUAUUGGUCAAUGGGCGUAAGCCUGAACCAGCCAAGUCGCGUGAGGGAUGAAGGUUCUAUGGAUUGUAAACCUCUUUUAUAAGGGAAUAAAGUGCGGGACGUGUCCCGUUUUGUAUGUACCUUAUGAAUAAGGAUCGGCUAACUCCGUGCCAGCAGCCGCGGUAAUACGGAGGAUCCGAGCGUUAUCCGGAUUUAUUGGGGUUAAAGGGUGCGUAGGCGGAUUUUUAAGUCAGCGGUAAAAUGUUCGGGAUCAACCCGGGCCGGCCGUUGAAACUGGGGAUCUUGAGUGGGCGAGAAGUAUGCGGAAUGCGUGGUGUAGCGGUGAAAUGCAUAGAUAUCACGCAGAACUCCGAUUGCGAAGGCAGCAUACCGGCGCCCGACUGACGCUGAGGCACGAAAGCGUGGGGAUCGAACAGGAUUAGAUACCCUAGUAGUC
RNAcentral lists this ribosomal RNA (459 nucleotides) under uncultured bacterium. Its description in RNAcentral is "partial 16S ribosomal RNA". It matches the Rfam family "Bacterial small subunit ribosomal RNA", at positions 338 to 795 of the family's 1533-position model. The record is from RNAcentral.